UUCUCAUGUCCUAUACAGAGAAAAUUCUCAGCUUAGAUUGGUGCACCUACCUGCUCGUGAGUGUGCGCACACACUGGGGUGAGCAACAGUUCUCCCCGGCUCCUGCAGUAAGAAGGCUGUCGUUCCUAAUGAAUCUGAUGCCCUCCCUGAGGAGACUCUAGGGAAGCAGGUGUCUAAACACAGGCCUUUAAAGCACAGAGGAAAGAAAUCUGAACAUGUGGCUUGCUUGGAAUGCACAGACCAUUAGAGCACCAUAGAGCAGAGUUUUUGUAUGAUUGUCCUUUAAACUCUUUAUGGUGUUCUAGUUUCCCGAUAUCCACUGGAGUUUUACUCCUAAGGGGGCAUCACAUCCCUCUGUGCUAAUCCUUUUAAACACUCAUCCUUCCCAUCUCAGUGAUUACUCACAAAAAGAGGAAACGUGUUGGUUUUAUAUUGGCUAAUAUUUUUUUCCACACCCCACUUUACAGUAUUUGGUUUGUGCAUUUUCACUUGUUAUUCCUUCCUGUACAAAGAAUUUUCCAAGAUGCUGUACUAAAAAUAGAGAUUGCCUUUUUUUUAGGGAUUGAGUGAAACUCUCUUUCAUCCAUUUCUCCUUCAUCCCUGCUGUCACAGCGAGUGCUUGCAAUUCCUUCCAUCUGGCACAGAUGCAAUGCUGCAUUUAGCCAGAUACUGCAGCAGCAGCACUCCGUGUUUAGGGCACGGGAGCUGUAGAAUGAGCAUAGUAACAGAAGCCUGGGCUCCAGAUCAGUCCGACGUUGAUGCACACGGCAGACCCGAGGGGGUUUGGGAAAUGUAGCUAAAAAUGGCUGCCAAGGAGCCACCGUGAAUAAAAGGUUCUUAGGAUAUCUCUGGAUAGCUGUGUUCUAUGAGGCUGCUCCAAGGUUUAAUAUCAAGGGCACUGGACGAAAUAGGAGCUCCACAGGCUGUUAAAUAAUGAAGGAAUCAAAAUAUUUGUAAAAACAGAAGAGAGAAAUCCCCUUGAGUUGUUCCACAGUAAGGGGGACCCACUGCUGCCUUUAAUAAUCAGGAGUCUGAAGUAAAUACGUACUGACUAUUCGUCACAACCAAGAAAUCUCUGUACAGGUAGAGAUGACACUUCUUACUGAUGCUCUCUCUUCUGAGUUCCACUGGCCCAUGGAACACGAGGGUUUGGUUCUUGAUUUCCGAAGCUGUGACUUUCCCAUUUAAAAUUUCCAUCUCAGAAAAGAGGCCUCUCCUGUGACAGGUCAAACACUAACAGAAGAGAGAUCAACAGGGUAGUCAGAGGCCAAGAGGACAAACUUUGUGAGAAAUGUGAAGAGUACCAUGAAAUUAAACUCAUAGGCUCAGUUCUCUAAAUAUAACUAAAUCAUCGUUUUCAUUUUCCUUUUUUUUUUCAAUUGGACAUGCUGAGAAAUAUAUAUGUUUGUAUAUACAUGCAUAUAUGUAUAUAUUGAUUUUUAUAUGUACAUUUUCUUAUCAUAUGUUUACUGAAGUCACUGUGAUAUAGUCAUCAAGGAAGACUCAAAUAAGAUAGUUUUGACUAGGAAAUACCUCAAAAACUCUUCAUCAUCCUUUCCAUUUUGGGAGAUGCAAAUCAAAACAAGUUUGAGAUUUCAUCUCACCCCACUCAGAAUGGCUAAGGUCAACAAACCAGCAGGCACCACAUGCUUGCCAAAGCGUGGGGGAUCAGAAAAACCCAUUGGCUGUUGGCAGGAGUGCAAACUAAAGAAGCCACUCUGGUGAUCAGUCUGGAGAAUCCUCUCAGGUAAGUGAGGCCCAGCUGCACAGCUCCCCGGAAUACACCAAAAAGACUUCAGAAUCGACUUCACAGACACUUGCUGAGUUGUGUUCAUUGCUGCUCUAUUCACAACACUUGGGAUAGAGCAACGGGAACGUCCUUCAGCACAUGAAUGGAUAAUAAAAUUGUGGUGCCUAUACACAAGGGAACACUAUUCAGCUGCAAAGGAAAAUGAAGUCAUGGACUUUGCAGCUACGUGGAUGUAAAUGGAAAAAUAUAUUGUGUGAGGUAACAGACACAGAAAGACAGACAGCACAUGUUCACUCACAUCUGUGGUUCCAAGCUCAAACUCUUCAGAUCUGAAUAUAUAACAUAGAUUAACUGCAACCAGUGUGUGAGUAAAAAGGGAUGAGGGGCAGGGGCUAGAAAGGAGUCUAGAAAGAUACAGCUGAUCUGAAGGGUGCAGUGGGGAAAUGGCGAGGGGUGUCUCUGUGGAGGAGGGCAGUCACCACAGAUGCAGAGGAAAGAAUGAAGGGCAAACAACAUCAAGUUUGACUAAAGCCUCAGGCAAUGAAAUUUCUUUCUGCUUGCCUAAACUUAUACUGUGUAUUUGUGUGUAUACAUAUUUAUAUGUAGUUCUACCAGUUGGGAUGAUAGCGCUCCCCAGAGUCACAAGGUAUCACACAAAACCCGUAAGACCAAGCAUGAGAAACCUCCAUUCAAUUUGUUGGUCAGCGUAAACCAAAUGACUUCAAGAGCAUGGUCUGUUGCUGUGUGUUUCCUCUCAGAGGCUGAGGGUAAGUCCAUACUGCUGAAAACACCAUCGCCUUCUGACACAAGCUCAGAAGACUUAAUCAGGAUCGGACCUGAAAUAUUGCUUCCUCUGCUUUAACUUUUACAGUACCAGACAUACCCACUAAAGGGCCAUAGGGGUACUCAUAUAUUGUGGCACACAGCAGCCGUCUAGUUUGACUGAAGGCCAAAAUAAUUCAGAUUUAGCUUCAUGAAAAUUCAAGUAAAUGAGGAUGUUUGAAAAAGCUAUUCCUAUCUUAGCUAAAACAGAGUUCAAAUUUUUGAAACUGGCAUUAACAAUAAAAAUGUUGGAAACACUAAAAAGUUUCUGAAAAUCAGAAGGUUCUUAUAAGUUUGCCUGAGAUCUGACCACUAUCCAGUUGGCCUUCAUGCUCCUAUUGGGUAAAAUAACCAAGGUCAACAAAGCGUAAAUCCUCUUGCCUGACUUGGAAAGCCGCGUUUAUUACAACCGCUUCUCUCCGGGUGUCCCAGAACCUCUGCGUAGCGGUAUUCGCUCCGCCCAUGACCUCGGGCUAUACAGCCCAAAGGAGGUGGUGCUUCCUGAUGUUUAUGUGACCUCUUAUAAGGGGUUGGAGAAGGGUCACAUGCCCUUCUCCCUGCUCCUGCUUGCAAGGUGGAUUCGCUUCUGUUCUGUAAUCGUGAGUGUAUUUUCUCAAUUUAUAUCUUAAUAAAUUCUGUUACAUUUAA
Peromyscus maniculatus bairdii (prairie deer mouse) is the source of this 3220-nucleotide non-coding RNA. The record is from RefSeq and is a predicted model, not a curated record. NCBI's taxonomy places the organism in Eukaryota, Metazoa, Chordata, Mammalia, Rodentia, Cricetidae.